AUGGCGCACGGGCAGGAGUCUUCGACGCAGGCCGCCGCCGGUGGCGCCGCGCCACUGUGCGCGAACGGCUGCGGGUUCUACGGGAGCGAGGCGAGCAAGAACAUGUGCUCAAAGUGCUACCGCGACCACCUCAAGGCCGGAGAUGUGGCUGCCCCUGCCGUUGAGGGGAAGCUCACGUUCGACGACCUCAUCCUCGCUUUCAAGAAGUCGAUGAGCCUGCAUGACUCUACCGCGGCACCGGCGGCGGAGGCGGCAGCGAAGAAGUCGGCGCCAAACAGGUGCAUGGCGUGCAAGAAGAAGGUCGGGCUGCUGGGAUUCGCGUGCCGCUGCGGUGGCACCUUCUGCUCGCUGCACCGCUACGUGGACGGGCACGCAUGCAGUUUCGACUACAAGAAGGUCGGCCGGGAGCAGAUCGCGUAG
Molecule: ribosomal RNA, 420 nt
Filed under: Triticum aestivum (bread wheat)
Lineage: Eukaryota; Viridiplantae; Streptophyta; Magnoliopsida; Poales; Poaceae
Description: partial small subunit ribosomal RNA
Source: RNAcentral